GUACUCCUCCUCACGGACACACAAACAACCGUCUCCACAAGCACAAACAACAGGGUUUAUUGGAUUGUGUCUGUAUCCAACCGGUAUCAGGUGGGACAACGUGUCAUGGACAACCUCAUAAAAGGCAGAAACUUCCCUGAACGCGGAGCCGAAGCAGGGGAGGUUGGGCUGACCCGGCUGACGUCGGCAGCACCUGAAGCACAACAACUACGGUUUUGUACUGCGUUUCACGGCAAGCCUGGCGACGGCUUCCCCACCACCCUGACACAGGAACAGCAGUGGAUGGGCAGGACCGCGCCGUGGAGCCCAGCGGGGCAGACGGUAGACGGGAGAGGCGCAGAGGUGGGAUGUCCCUCUGAGCGUGGAUGCGAUCUGAUGUCAUGGCCCGGAUAAGCCUGCCUCAGCAA
This is a long non-coding RNA of Conger conger (European conger), 407 nucleotides long. RefSeq lists it as uncharacterized. The transcript has 3 exons. The record is from RefSeq and is a predicted model, not a curated record. Lineage: Eukaryota; Metazoa; Chordata; Actinopteri; Anguilliformes; Congridae.